Hypoxylon sp. FL1284 is the source of this 99-nucleotide non-coding RNA. The record is from the annotation of a GenBank genome assembly. Lineage: Eukaryota; Fungi; Ascomycota; Sordariomycetes; Xylariales; Hypoxylaceae.
UCCCACGUGGCGCAGUGGUUAAAGCGCCUGGCCGCGCAUGGCCCGUGCACGACUGCACGGUUUUCUCCAUGCGAGUGGGUUCAAGUCCCACCGUGGUUU